CCUACGGGCGGCUGCAGUGGGGAAUUUUGGACAAUGGGGGCAACCCUGAUCCAGCCAUGCCGCGUGAGUGAAGAAGGCCUUCGGGUUGUAAAGCUCUUUCGGCCGGGAAGAAAUCGCUCAAGCUAAUACCUUGGGUGGAUGACGGUACCGGAAGAAGAAGCACCGGCUAACUACGUGCCAGCAGCCGCGGGAAUACGUAGGGUGCGAGCGUGCGUCGGACUUACUGGGCGGGCAGCAUGCGCCAGAGGCGAAAGCCCCGGGCUUAACCUGGGAACUGCGUUUGUGACUGUGGUGGUCGAGUGCGGCAGAGGGGGGUGGAAUUCCACGUGUAGCAGUGAAAUGCGUAGAGAUGUGGAGGAACACCGAUGGCGAAGGCAGCCCCCUGGGUCGACACUGACGCUCAUGCACGAAAGCGUGGGGAGCAAACAGGAUUAGAUACCCGUGUAGUC
Molecule: ribosomal RNA, 449 nt
Filed under: uncultured bacterium
Lineage: Bacteria
Description: partial 16S ribosomal RNA
Rfam family: Bacterial small subunit ribosomal RNA
Source: RNAcentral